CAGCCGCCGCGGUAAUGCGUAGGGUGCAGGCGUUAAUCGGAAUUACUGGGCGUAAAGCGUGCGCAGGCGGUUAUAUAAGUCAGAUGUGAAAUCCCCGGGCUCAACCUGGGAACUGCAUUUGAGACUGUAUGGCUAGAGUGUGUCAGAGGGGGGUAGAAUUCCACGUGUAGCAGUGAAAUGCGUAGAUAUGUGGAGGAAUACCGAUGGCGAAGGCAGCCCCCUGGGAUAACACUGACGCUCAUGCACGAAAGCGUGGGGAGCAAACAGGAUUAGAUACCCCUGUAGUCCCUGUCUCUUAUAC
Molecule: ribosomal RNA, 301 nt
Filed under: uncultured bacterium
Lineage: Bacteria
Description: partial 16S ribosomal RNA
Rfam family: Bacterial small subunit ribosomal RNA
Source: RNAcentral